This 427-nucleotide ribosomal RNA is filed under the name uncultured bacterium. RNAcentral's name for it is "bacterial SSU rRNA". It matches the Rfam family "Bacterial small subunit ribosomal RNA", at positions 354 to 772 of the family's 1533-position model. The record is from RNAcentral.
GUGGGGAAUAUUGGACAAUGGGCGGAAGCCUGACCCAGCAACGCCGCGUGGGGGAUGAAGGUCUUCGGAUUGUAAACCCCUGUUGGGUGGGACGAACACUUCCAUGGUUAACAGCCAUGGAGACUGACGGUACCACCUGAGGAAGCCCCGGCUAACUCUGUGCCAGCAGCCGCGGUAAUACGGAGGGGGCUAGCGUUGUUCGGAAUUACUGGGCGUAAAGCGCACGUAGGCGGCUUUGUAAGUUAGAGGUGAAAGCCCGGAGCUCAACUCCGGAAUUGCCUUUAAGACUGCAUCGCUCGAAUCAUGGAGAGGUGAGUGGAAUUCCGAGUGUAGAGGUGAAAUUCGUAGAUAUUCGGAAGAACACCAGUGGCGAAGGCGACUCACUGGACAUGUAUUGACGCUGAGGUGCGAAAGCGUGGGGAGCAAA